ACGAACGCUGGCGGCGUGCCUAAUACAUGCAAGUCGAGCGAACAGACGAGGAGCUUGCUCCUCUGACGUUAGCGGCGGACGGGUGAGUAACACGUGGAUAACCUACUUAUCAGACUGGGAUAACUUCGGGAAACCGGAGCUAAUACCGGAUAAUAUAUUGAACCGCAUGGUUCAAUAGUGAAAGACGGUUUUGCUGUCACUUAUAGAUGGAUCCGCGCCGCAUUAGCUAGUUGGUAAGGUAACGGCUUACCAAGGCAACGAUGCGUAGCCGACCUGAGAGGGUGAUCGGCCACACUGGAACUGAGACACGGUCCAGACUCCUACGGGAGGCAGCAGUAGGGAAUCUUCCGCAUUGGGCGAAAGCUUGACGGAGCAACGCCGCGUGAGUGAUGAUGGUCUUCGGAUCGUAAAACUCUGUUAUUAGGGAAGAACAAAUGUGUAAGUACCUAUGCACGUCUUGACGGUACCUAAUCAGAAAGCCACGGCUAGCUACGUG
Molecule: ribosomal RNA, 496 nt
Filed under: uncultured bacterium
Lineage: Bacteria
Description: partial 16S ribosomal RNA
Rfam family: Bacterial small subunit ribosomal RNA
Source: RNAcentral